UGGGGAAUCUUGCGCAAUGGGCGAAAGCCUGACGCAGCCAUGCCGCGUGAAUGAUGAAGGUCUUAGGAUUGUAAAAUUCUUUCACCGGGGACGAUAAUGACGGUACCCGGAGAAGAAGCCCCGGCUAACUUCGUGCCAGCAGCCGCGGUAAUACGAAGGGGGCUAGCGUUGCUCGGAAUUACUGGGCGUAAAGGGCGCGUAGGCGGAUCGUUAAGUCAGAGGUGAAAUCCCAGGGCUCAACCCUGGAACUGCCUUUGAUACUGGCGAUCUUGAGUAUGAGAGAGGUAUGUGGAACUCCGAGUGUAGAGGUGAAAUUCGUAGAUAUUCGGAAGAACACCAGUGGCGAAGGCGACCUACUGGCUCAUUACUGACGCUGAGGCGCGAAAGCGUGGGGAGCAAACAGG
RNAcentral lists this ribosomal RNA (404 nucleotides) under Acidobacteriota bacterium. RNAcentral's name for it is "Acidobacteria bacterium partial 16S ribosomal RNA". It matches the Rfam family "Bacterial small subunit ribosomal RNA", at positions 355 to 776 of the family's 1533-position model. The record is from RNAcentral. Lineage: Bacteria; Pseudomonadati; Acidobacteriota.